This 281-nucleotide ribosomal RNA is filed under the name uncultured bacterium. Its description in RNAcentral is "partial 16S ribosomal RNA". It matches the Rfam family "Bacterial small subunit ribosomal RNA", at positions 496 to 776 of the family's 1533-position model. The record is from RNAcentral.
GCUAACUCAGUGCCAGCCGCCGCGGUAAUACGUAGGGGGCUAGCGUUAUCCGGAAUUACUGGGCGUAAAGGGUGCGUAGGUGGUUUGUUAAGUCAGAUGUGAAAGCCCCGGGCUCAACCUGGGAACUGCAUCUGAUACUGGCAAGCUUGAGUCUCGUAGAGGGGGGUAGAAUUCCAGGUGUAGCGGUGAAAUGCGUAGAGAUCUGGAGGAAUACCGGUGGCGAAGGCGGCCCCCUGGACGAAGACUGACGCUCAGGUGAGAAAGCGUGGGGAGCAAACAGG